RNAcentral lists this long non-coding RNA (890 nucleotides) under Fragaria vesca (wild strawberry). RNAcentral's name for it is "long non-coding RNA (FVES_LNC001831)". The record is from RNAcentral. Lineage: Eukaryota; Viridiplantae; Streptophyta; Magnoliopsida; Rosales; Rosaceae.
UUUACUCUAUACUAAAACGCGUACAGUGUCGAUCACUGUUCAUACGUACCCCUAUGAACUUACAUGUACGUCCCGCUUUCCCGUCUAUUUGCAGUUUUGCCAUUACCCCUACGAACUUACAUGUUUGUCCUGCUUUCCCGUUUAUUCGCAGUUUUGCCAUUACUUCUUAUAUAUUUAUUAACUGCUGGACUGGAUCGAUGCCUACCUCUUCUUUCUUCCUCUCUCUUGCCUCUCUGCAUACUGCGAGUUACGUCCUCGCUCUUCGCCGCUUCUUACUUUCUCGAGCGAUUGAUUUGGGGUUCGUCAAAGGCAGGUGGUUUUGGGUUUCUGUGUUUGUGUUUUGGUUUUCUUGAUUCAUUCUCUUCUAAUNNNNNNNNNNNNNNNNNNNNACUAACAUUCAGCUGUCUUUAGGUAAAUGCUUUUGGUUUUGUAUUCUCUUUUUCCUCUGCUGGUCUUGGUUAGGUAAAGAACCACGGGUUCAAGCUUGCAUUAGUUUGCAGAUUUUGUUCAUUCCAUUAAAUUUCCCAGGUUAUAUUCAGGGAAUCCUGUUAUUCCCUUUGCAUUUCCACUUCUACAAGUAAUUAAUAUUUGGCAGUUUUCUGCUAUUUAAACUUUUGCCUUGGUAUGCAGACCGAAAUGGUCUUCGGUAUACAAUUUUAAAUUACGAUAGAAUUUUAAACAAUUUACAGUGUUGCCUUUAUUACUCUUGCUCUCCACAAUGAACCCUUAUAUUGUCCUUCCAAGUGUUAAGAAAAACAAUAAUGAAUGAGACUGUCAAAUUCAAAGUGAGGGACAGGCAGCAAACCGCGGCAAGCCGCUGGCAACAAACCUAGUUUGAAUCUAAUUAACCUACAUCUUCAUCCGAUCCAACUUCUCUCUCUCUCUCNNNN